UCCGGCAUGGUCUAGUGGUUAGGAUACCUGGCUCUCACCCAGGAGGCCCUGGUUCGAUUCCCGGUGUCGGAA
RNAcentral lists this transfer RNA (72 nucleotides) under Dermacentor andersoni. RNAcentral's name for it is "transfer RNA glutamic acid (anticodon CUC)". It matches the Rfam family "tRNA". From Rfam's summary of the family: Transfer RNA (tRNA) molecules are approximately 80 nucleotides in length. Their secondary structure includes four short double-helical elements and three loops (D, anti-codon, and T loops). Lineage: Eukaryota; Metazoa; Arthropoda; Arachnida; Ixodida; Ixodidae. The record is from RNAcentral.